This 228-nucleotide long non-coding RNA is filed under the name Gossypium barbadense (sea-island cotton). RNAcentral describes it as "long non-coding RNA (GBAR_LNC011546)". The record is from RNAcentral. Lineage: Eukaryota; Viridiplantae; Streptophyta; Magnoliopsida; Malvales; Malvaceae.
GGGUUUGGGGUGUUACAUUAUCGCUUAGCACAACCACUCAUGCAAACAUGAAAACCAUAUGCAAGAUCUCAUAUUCUCGGUAAUCACCCAUUUCUUUUAAAUAUCAUAUUCCAUCAAAUUUCUAUUAACAUCAAAUUCAAUACAAUUAUAACAAAUUAUAUUUCAUGUAUAUCAAUAAUAACAUGAAUAAUAGGCUUAUUAAAUCACGCGAACUUACCUCGGAUCCAG